GGGAAUUCAGGAAAGCAGAAUUUUUAAACAUGACAAUCCAGUUGCUUCUGUCUUUUAUUGACAGACAUCAACUUAGUUUGAUUGUUGUGGGGUCAGAUGACCUAAAACUUGCAAACAGCGACACAGAGGGAAAAUUGUUCAGAGAUGAAAGUUGUAUAAAAGACUAUUUUGUUGUUCAGCUGUUGUUCAUGUUUCCAACAUGCCAUGCUAGUGACAUGGGAAUCUCUUCAAACAAUGCAAGUAAAGCAGUAAAACUUUCUGAUGGUGUUGGUGCACAUGAAUUAUCCAAGUAGGAGUGCCAAUAAAAUGUUAACGAGAGCUACAGCUUCUCUAACCUACCCACUUUUUCCCUGCUUUGCUUUGUCUUUGUGCUGCUUUUUGGAGCCUCUCUUUUGCACACCCUGCGAGUCUACAAAUUAUGGAUCCGACUACUGAACGCUUAAACUAACAUGUGGGACCAGAGCCGCCAUUUGGAUGUGAUUCUUGCUGAGAUUGGCAGGCCAGCUGUGGACCCUGGUGCUCACUGGGGGGAUGGAAUCAGUCUUGGAGAAGUUCCUAGUUCGGUCCGGUGGGAUGGCCACAUUAAUUUGGAUGAUUGGAAAAACAAUGGAGAUGUAAUGGUGAGACUUUAGGGUAGAUGAAAAUUAAAAGUCUUAUCAACUGAAAAAUAUUGUCACUAUCUGAACUGGGUCCCCUGUGUCAGCCUUGGCUGGCUGGCUCUCCCAGAUCUCCUGGAUGAUAUGUAAACAUGACGCUCUUUCCCAUCUCCUUCCCCAUCCUACAGAUACACACUCCCUGAUCUCACGUCUCACUCUAUCAUAAAGAGCAGAGCUGUCAGUGGCAGCAGCCCCAGGCUCCCUGUCUCCACUGUUUUCGUCUGGUUAUUGUCUUCUCUGGAUGGAUUUAUCUGAAAUGAAUUUUGUGGUGCUUCGGUACAAUAACAAAGUGUUCAUUCAUUCAUUCAUUAACUUUUAAGAUACCACACCAGUUACGCCUAACCUGAGGUGCUGUUGUUGCCUGUCAAGUACACACUUCCUCUAAGGGCAAUGACCUGCUGCACUGAAGGUUCACUGAACAGAAUGAACUGUUGCCUGCUGAAGAUGAAAUACAAUCUGUCUUUUGAAUCUAUUAAAACUAUUUACCUAAUUUGGAUUGUAUAUGACACAAUAUGAGUUAUGUCUCAUGUGAAGUACCUUCAGGAAAUGUUUUGAAUUUAGACUAUUUGAUUAAAAUUAAGUCAUUUUCUAAAACAUAUGAGAAUAUAACAGGUGUGUAUAUUCCAUAAAUGUGUUUUAUUGUUUUAUUUUGAAUGUGUUUUAGCUCAACUAGAAGGUGAAUUUGCGGAGAUGGAGAGCAGACUGCUGCAUCUGGAAACUCUGUGUUGUCAGUGUGAGCAACAGACUGUAAAAAACCAUCAUAUGAGUCAACUUGAAGAUUAUAAAAAGAAGAAAAGGAAGGAGGCGGAUUUACUGGAAGGUAAGCAGCAGUGUCUCUGACACAUCUGUUCUCUCUUUUUGUGUAGAAAUUAAAACCUGAAAUGAAAAUGAGUUGGCAUUGUAAAGAAAACAUUCCCC
Long non-coding RNA from Poecilia latipinna (sailfin molly), 1574 nucleotides. RefSeq lists it as uncharacterized. The record is from RefSeq and is a predicted model, not a curated record. NCBI's taxonomy places the organism in Eukaryota, Metazoa, Chordata, Actinopteri, Cyprinodontiformes, Poeciliidae. The transcript is spliced from 2 exons.